CUUGUGCCUCCAGCAAUAAAGAUGGAUGGAAGAGCACUCCCAGACUAUACCUUCUCCUUUUCAAGGAGUGCAACUUUGUCCAGUUCUGGAAGACCUUUCCCAUUCCCAGACACGUGAACUACCUGCCCACAGGACUUCCAUUUUGCUGGGAUUCAGUUUCAGGUUAUUUACCCUGACUGCAUCCAGGCAACGAUGCAAGAAUUGCACAGCCACACCUGGCACAGCCACACCUGACUAAGAUGUAAAAGAGAAGCCCAGGCAGGUAUCACCAGCAAACAGAUGCCACCAUGCUCGAAAUCCCCAAAUGAGAACUUGAUAGGCCUUCUUAAAUUACCGUCUCCUGUUUUAUCUCCCCUCUUAAUUCUUUGGUUUAACUAUUCUAUAUGGCUUGGCUCUGAGGCUUAUUAGAACCCCAUUGACAUACAGCCAUCCCCACAACUACGCCUAUGUCUUGUCCUCUCCUCUGCACAUAAAACUUUGUUUGGCCAUCUAUGGGCUCCUGCUUAUACCCCAUGCUUAACAUCUGGUUUGAAUCAAAGAAAUGUAGGGUUGAAAGUGACCACGAGGGUCAUCUAGUCCAACCCCCUGCAAAGCAGGAAUCUUUUACCCAACAUGGGGCUCAAACCCACGACCCUGAGAUCCCAGGACUUCAGAAACUCCUCCUUUGCCCUCUCCUGCUGGGAUCCUGUGCCUGCCUCUUGGCCACUUAGAAUCAGGCUACUCAGCUUGCCUUUGGACCCUUCGAGGUGUUUGUUUGUCAUGACAGGGAAAUGCAGAGGAAAGGUUGGGAACAGCAAUUGCUUGAAGCAACGUGAUCUAACCUCCUUGCAAACCGAUCAGGAUGAAUGCUCCCAAGGUGCUCCUUGUCUCAGUAGGCCACACCUGUCCUCGCUUAACACCCUCUUUGUGAUUUCACCUCGCAGGUAUGUGUCCUUGAACUCUGACGAUAUCUGGAGGGAGGAUAGAACAGGGUACAAAAAUAAUUCUACUUUAAAUAUGCAAACCUUACAUUUACUAUUCUGCACACUUUUGACUCAUGCCCUGACCACUGAUGGCAUACGGCCCCUGGAAGGCUGCCCACAAGGUAAUGUGGCCCUGAGCCUGAAGAAGUCCAUGCAGAGCUUGUCUGAGGCCCUGGGCAGGAGUCCCCAGUCAGCUGGGAGGCACAGAGCUUUUUUGGCAUGACAGUGUUAAGUCCGGCAGGCCUCUGGCAGGGCCCUCUGGGUACCUGCCCCACCCCUACCCCCCAGGCACGUGUACCCACCUGCCCACCCCCUUCUACAGAGGUACAGUCAACACAUUAUUUGUAGAGGUGCUUUUAGUAGAGAAAGAUGCAGACUUUCAACAGGGAACUCUGGGUAUGUUUAGCUUGGAAAAGAGGAGACUGAGAGGAGAAAGGAUAGCUAUCUUCAAAUAUCUAAAGGGCUGGCACUUGGAAGAUGGAGCAAGCUUGUUUUCUCCUGCUCUGUAGGGUAGGACUGGAACCAAUGGAUUCAAAUGACAAGGAAGGAACCCCAAACUAAACCUGAGGAGAAAACUUUAUGACAGUAUGAGCUGUUUCACAGUGCAGCAGUCUCACUCGGGAGGAUGUGGGCUCUCCUUCCUUGGAGGUUUUUAAACAGAGGUUAGAUGGCCAUCUGCCAUGGAUGCUUCCACUGAGAUUCCUGCAUUGCUGGGGGUUGGACUAGAUGACACCGGGAGUCCCUUCCAACUGUACAAUAUAAUUCUAGAUUUGAGUCUAGUGUGUGUGGCUAGAGCAGAUAGACUACAAUUCCCACAAUGCAUUUAACCAACAAUGACUCCUGGAGCGGAGUACUGUACUGUAUGAGACUCGGGAAUUCUGAAGCCGAAAGACUACAACUCCCAGAAUGCCCGGUUUCUUUACGAGCUCCUUCAUUGGCAGAUUAAGGCAUCCUGCUGGAGAGGAAGUGGGUGGGGCUAAUGCGCACGUGGGUUGUAUGGAAGCGCGUGUAUAUCGGGAGGAGGAAGCUCUUUUAAUCCGUCUGCAGGUAUAGUGCUAACGCUUUCAUAACCCGCAGCAAUGUUUCUGCAGUACUACCUCGAUGAACAAGGAAAUAGGGUCUACACUCUCAAGGUAAGGAUUUUACUUUAAUGGCGUUUUGUCUCUCCGCCCCCCCCCCCAAAUUCUUAGUCCCUUUCUUCUUCCUGAUGCCCCCCAAAUCCAGAUGCUAUGCAUAUCAAUUCUUGUUAUGCUCCAUCUAAUACUAAUACACUAAUAAUUUUAUUAUUUAUACCCCACCUAUAUGGCUGGGUUGCCCUAGCCACCCAUAUCUGGCUGCAAUUAAUCUUCUUUCCCUAUUGUUUCUUUUAAAGAUCGUCAUUGGUUUAAAUGUGGAAUUAUCUGUGCAAAAUCUGCAUGCUACUUUGAUACCCAGAUCAUAAUUUAACAUUGUGGUAAUUGCAUUGCUUUCGUUUGUGUAUUCCCCCCACCCUUCAGUUAAUUAAAUACUUGUUUUUGGUCUCGUGAAUGGAUUGGGGAGGAGUGUAGGAGGAAAAAGAUUGUACAGUACAGGUCUAAGUGGUCUGUUGAAAUCUUAAGAAAAGAGACAUGGGGGAGUUCUCGCGAUCAUGAAAAAUUGUAUUUUUAUUAACUUGUUUGUUUCUUAGAAUAUAAGCACGUGGGUAGGGAAUGCCUUGUUUUGAUUUCAUGAAAGGCACUCUAGGAGUGUUGCAAGGCUCAGAUUGGGAAGAGGAGAAGCAUGUAUGUCCUUUUCAGUACCUUGGAAGAAAGGUUGGACAUGAAGAAAAUAAAAGUGAUUUUAAGAUGGAAUGUGUAGCUUUUAGGGCUGGUUUGGUUUUUCUAGGAUUGUAGUUGCUCACAUAUAGACUGCCAAUAUUAACAUACACAUUUAAGCCAAGAUUGGUGGUAUAUUGUUGUUGUUCUUAAUGUCAGCUGACAAUGUUUACACACAUACAUAUACAGUGGUACCUCGAGUUAAGUACUUAAUUCGUUCCGGAGGUCCGUACUUAACCUGAAACUGUUCUUAACCUGAAGCACCACUUUAGCUAAUGGGGCCUCCUGCUGCUGCCGCACCGCUGGAGCCCGAUUUCUGUUCUUAUCCUGAAGCAAAGUUCUUAACCUGAAGCAUUAUUUCUGGGUUAGCAGAGUGUGUAACCUGAAGCGUAUGUAACCCGAGGUACCACUGUACACACACACAUAUAUAUAUAUAUAUAUAUACACACACACACACAUACAUAUUUAAAACCAAGACUUGUAUGCUCACAAAUUGCUGUGCCUUCUCUUCCCUGCUUUGCAGAAGGCGGAUCCCACUGGCCAGCCAACGUGUUCAGCCCAUCCUGCUCGCUUUUCUCCAGAUGACAAAUAUUCCCGACACAGGAUCACCAUCAAGAAACGCUUUGGAGUCUUGAUGACCCAGCAGCCUCGGCUCGUUGUGUAAACUGCUUGUCAUCUGUUCUGGUAGGGACCUCUGCAGCCCAUGGAGAUGAGACAAGCUUCCAGCUCCAAAGCAGCCUCGAAGAUGUUGACACAGAAAACAAAAGCACCAGAUCUGCAUUUCUUCAUUCCACUUUAUCACUCGGACUUCUAGAGAGCCACUAAUGAUGUGCGAGGGAACUCCUGCAAUCUUCAAAUGAGCUUGAAUUCCUUCAGUUGCACCUGCUUGCCCCCUUGAUUCUGGAAAUAAAGCAAAUGAAAUAUUUCAUUUUAUUCCUUUAACAUAAGAA
Podarcis lilfordi (Lilford's wall lizard) is the source of this 3705-nucleotide non-coding RNA. NCBI's taxonomy places the organism in Eukaryota, Metazoa, Chordata, Lepidosauria, Squamata, Lacertidae. The record is from the annotation of a GenBank genome assembly.